CUAAAAUCAGUCAAUAGUAAAACCUUUGUUUUAUUUUACCAGUUAAAACACUCAGUAACACCAGCUUGAUGUCAGAUAUCACCCUUGUAAUUGCAAAGCCCAUUAGUGUCAAGAUCAGAUCAAUAUUUGUCUUGAAAUCCGCAACAGUUGUUCAAGUGCCUAUAACUGCUCAUCAGCAGGUCAUAAAACGAAGCUUCAAGAUUGAAGGAAAAUGUCUAGAAAUUAAGAAAUUUGCGGAGGGAUAUAAUUAACCAAUAAGCAACAAUCCAGAAUGUGAUUUAACAAUAUGACUAUUAAAAUGUGAAAUAAAAGUGAUUUUGACUGAACUGUUUAGGAUACACAACUUUGAUAGUCUGCUUAAAUUUUGUUGAACUUUAUCAGUUAAUUGAAACUAAUUCCCACAAUAUUUAGCUGAAAUCAAUAAUGGAUUAUCUCGGAAUAUCUUUAGAAAACAUUUCUUUGGAAGAUGUCAUUGAUGAAGAAACCAACACAUUAGGAAUAUCCCUUGAGGAAAUGGAAACCUCUUUAAAUCCUCAGGUACUUUACAUGUUUUACUCAAAUAUUCUUAUAUAAAUAACUCUACUUAUGUAAAGCAGUUAACCUUUAUGUCGUAAAGGCAGAUUAAAAGCAAUGUUUGUAUUGAAUACACCAGCAUGGAAUUUAUCUUAAUGCUCAAUUUAGAUUAACAUUAUAUUUUAUAAUGCUACGUAAUUCCAUUUACUAAUAUAACGAUAUUUGAUCAAACUGUAUUAAGUACAUGAAUAUGUAUGAUGUAUGCUUAACACAGUUAAUGGUUUUUUAAGACUAUUAUAAUUAUUAUAAUAUUUGACCUUUCAGGAUUUGUCAAAGCAUAUCUUUGAGUUUGAUGAUGAAUUUAUCUUCAGCCUAAAGGAGUCCGAUGAACCAUUGGCUGUUGUUAGUCCAGAGGAACCCACACAGCCACUUCAUACAUCAACACCAAAGAAACCCAUACAUACAAGUAAAACAGGAAAAGGCAGACCAGUUCGGAG
This is a long non-coding RNA of Mya arenaria, 1010 nucleotides long. RefSeq lists it as uncharacterized. NCBI's taxonomy places the organism in Eukaryota, Metazoa, Mollusca, Bivalvia, Myida, Myidae. The record is from RefSeq and is a predicted model, not a curated record. The transcript is spliced from 3 exons.